Molecule: ribosomal RNA, 421 nt
Filed under: uncultured bacterium
Lineage: Bacteria
Description: bacterial SSU rRNA
Rfam family: Bacterial small subunit ribosomal RNA
Source: RNAcentral
AUUGAACGCUGGCGGCGUGCCUAACACAUGCAAGUCGAUCGGUAACAGGUGUAGCAAUACAUGCUGACGAGAGGCGGACGGGUGAGUAACGCUUGGGAAUCUGCCUAUUAGUGGGGGACAACCCGGGGGAAACUCGGGCUAAUACCGCAUACGCUCUACGGAGGAAAGCCGGGGACCGCAAGGCCUGGCGCUAAUAGAUGAGCCCAAGUCGGAUUAGCUAGUUGGUAGGGUAAUGGCCUACCAAGGCGACGAUCCGUAGCUGGUCUGAGAGGACGACCAGCCACACUGGGACUGAGACACGGCCCAGACUCCUACGGGAGGCAGCAGUGGGGAAUAUUGGACAAUGGGGGAAACCCUGAUCCAGCGACGCCGCGUGGGUGAAGAAGGCCUUCGGGUUGGUAAAGUACGUCUUUCGUCAAGG